Molecule: ribosomal RNA, 200 nt
Filed under: uncultured Glomus
Lineage: Eukaryota; Fungi; Glomeromycota; Glomeromycetes; Glomerales; Glomeraceae
Description: partial small subunit ribosomal RNA
Rfam family: Eukaryotic small subunit ribosomal RNA
Source: RNAcentral
CCAAUAGCGUAUAUUAAAGUUGUUGCAGUUAAAAAGCUCGUAGUUGAAUUUCGGGAUCAAUGUGCCGGUCGUGCCUCGGUAUGCACUGGUACUUUUGAUUUCUCCCUUCUGAAGAACUUUGAUGUCAUUAAUUUGGUGUCUUAGGGAAUCAGGACUGUUACUUUGAAAAAAUUAGAGUGUUUAAAGCAAGCUCACGCUUG